RNAcentral lists this ribosomal RNA (468 nucleotides) under uncultured bacterium. Its description in RNAcentral is "partial 16S ribosomal RNA". It matches the Rfam family "Bacterial small subunit ribosomal RNA", at positions 28 to 507 of the family's 1533-position model. The record is from RNAcentral.
GACGAACGCUGGCGGCGCGCUUAACACAUGCAAGUCGAACGGAAAGGCCCUGCUUUUGUGGGGUGCUCGAGUGGCGAACGGGUGAGUAACACGUGAGUAACCUGCCCUUGACUUUGGGAUAACCUCAGGCAACUGGGGCAAAUACCGGAUAGGAGCUCGUGCUGCAUGGUGGGGGUUGGAAAGUUUCGCCGGUUGGGGAUGGACUCGCGGCAUAUCAGCUUGUUGGUGGGGAAGUGGCUUACCAAGGCUUAGACGGGUAGCCGGCCUGAGCGGGUGACCGGCCACAUUGGGACUGAGAUACGACCCAGACUCCUACGGGGGGCAGCAGUGAGGAAUAUUGCGCAGUGGGCGGAAGCCUGAUGCAGCAACGCCGCGUGCGAGAUGACGGUCUUCGGGUUGUAAACCGCUUUCGCCUGUGACGAAGCGUGAGUGACGGUAAUGGGUAGAGAAGCACCGACUAACAACGUG